Molecule: transfer RNA, 94 nt
Filed under: Deltaproteobacteria bacterium RIFOXYD12_FULL_53_23
Lineage: Bacteria; Deltaproteobacteria
Also listed under: 8 other names
Description: tRNA-Ser
Rfam family: tRNA
About the family: Transfer RNA (tRNA) molecules are approximately 80 nucleotides in length. Their secondary structure includes four short double-helical elements and three loops (D, anti-codon, and T loops). Further hydrogen bonds mediate the characteristic L-shaped molecular structure. tRNAs have two regions of fundamental functional importance: the anti-codon, which is responsible for specific mRNA codon recognition, and the 3' end, to which the tRNAs corresponding amino acid is attached (by aminoacyl-tRNA synthetases). tRNAs cope with the degeneracy of the genetic code in two manners: having more than one tRNA (with a specific anti-codon) for a particular amino acid; and 'wobble' base-pairing, i.e. permitting non-standard base-pairing at the 3rd anti-codon position.
Source: RNAcentral
GGAGAGCUGACCGAGUAGGCCGAAGGUGCUCGCCUGCUAAGCGAGUGUAGGAUCAAAAGUUCUACCGAGGGUUCGAAUCCCUCGCUCUCCGCCA